CCGCCAGUUGAUAACCCCCAGC
This 22-nucleotide microRNA is filed under the name Drosophila melanogaster (fruit fly). Its description in RNAcentral is "dme-miR-966-3p". Its record names the gene dme-miR-966-3p. Lineage: Eukaryota; Metazoa; Arthropoda; Insecta; Diptera; Drosophilidae. The record is from miRBase by way of RNAcentral. RNAcentral also lists the same sequence under 2 other names.